Molecule: ribosomal RNA, 237 nt
Filed under: Glomeromycotina sp.
Lineage: Eukaryota; Fungi; Glomeromycota
Description: partial small subunit ribosomal RNA
Rfam family: Eukaryotic small subunit ribosomal RNA (bases 40-237)
Source: RNAcentral
GGGUCAGUAGGUUGGUCGUGCCACCGGUACGUACUGGUCUCACUGAUUCCUCCUUCCUGAAGAACCGUAAUGCCAUUAAUUUGGUGUUGCGGGGAAACAGGACUGUUACUUUGAAAAAAUUAGAGCGUUUAAAGCAAGCUAACGCUUGAAUACAUUAGCAUGGAAUAAUGAAAUAGGACGAUCGAUCCUAUUUUGUUGGUUUCUAGGAUUGACGUAAUGAUUAAUAGGGAUAUUGGG